GACGAACGCUGGCGGCGUGCUUAACACAUGCAAGUCGAACGGAAAGGCCCUUCUUUUGUGGGGUGCUCGAGUGGCGAACGGGUGAGUAACACGUGAGUAACCUGCCCUUGACUUUGGGAUAACUUCAGGAAACUGGGGCUAAUACCGGAUAGGAGCUCCUGCUGCAUGGUGGGGGUUGGAAAGUUUCGGCGGUUGGGGAUGGACUCGCGGCUUAUCAGCUUGUUGUUGGGGUAGUGGCUUAACAAGGCUUUGACGGGUAGCCGGCCUGAGAGGGUGACCGGCCAAAUUGGGACUGAGAUACGGCCCAGACUCCUAAGGGAGGCAGAAGUGGGGAAGAUUGCACAAUGGGCGGAAGCAGGAUGCAGCAACGCCGCGUGAGGGAUGACGGACUUCGGGUUGUAAACCGCUUUCGCCUGUGACGAAGCGUGAGUGAAGGUAAUGGGUAAAGAAGCACCGGCUAACUACGUG
This 468-nucleotide ribosomal RNA is filed under the name uncultured bacterium. RNAcentral describes it as "partial 16S ribosomal RNA". It matches the Rfam family "Bacterial small subunit ribosomal RNA", at positions 28 to 507 of the family's 1533-position model. The record is from RNAcentral.